Molecule: ribosomal RNA, 445 nt
Filed under: uncultured bacterium
Lineage: Bacteria
Description: partial 16S ribosomal RNA
Rfam family: Bacterial small subunit ribosomal RNA
Source: RNAcentral
GUGAGGAAUAUUGGUCAAUGGACGGAAGUCUGAACCAGCCAAGUAGCGUGCAGGAUGACGGCCCUAUGGGUUGUAAACUGCUUUUAUGCGGGGGUAAAGUGAGUGACGUGUCAUUCAUUGCAAGUACCGCAAGAAUAAGGACCGGCUAAUUCCGUGCCAGCAGCCGCGGUAAUACGGAAGGUCCUGGUGUUAUCCGGAUUUAUUGGGGUUAAAGGGAGCGUAGGCCGUCAGGCAAGCGUGUUGUGAAAUGUCGUGGCUCAACCAUGGACUUGCAGCGCGAACUGCCCGACUUGAGUGCGCAGAAAGCAGGCGGAAUUUGUGGUGUAGCGGUGAAAUGCUUAGAUAUCACGAAGAACCCCGAUUGCGAAGGCAGCCUGCUGUAGCGCUACUGACGCUGAAGCUCGAAAGUGCGGGUAUCGAACAGGAUUAGAAACCCCAGUAGUCC